AUUGAACGCUGGCGGCAUGCUUUACACAUGCAAGUCGAACGGCAGCGCGGGCUUCGGCCUGGCGGCGAGUGGCGAGCGGGUGAGUAAUACAUCGGAACGUGCCCAGUAGUGGGGGAUAGCUCGGCGAAAGCCGGAUUAAUACCGCAUACGACCUGAGGGUGAAGGCGGGGGAUCUUCGGACCUCGCGCUAUUGGAGCGGCCGAUGGCAGAUUAGCUAGUUGGUGGGGUAAAGGCCUACCAAGGCGACGAUCUGUAGCUGGUCUGAGAGGACGACCAGCCACACUGGGAGUGAGACACGGCCCAGACUCCUACGGGAGGCAGCAGUGGGGAAUUUUGGACAAUGGGCGAAAGCCUGAUCCAGCAAUGCCGCGUGUGUGAUGAAGGCCUUCGGGUUGUAAAGCACUUUUGGCGGGAACGAAAAGGACUGUGCCAAUACCACGGUUCGAUGACGGUACCCGCAGAAUAAGCACCGGCUAACUACGUG
RNAcentral lists this ribosomal RNA (484 nucleotides) under uncultured bacterium. RNAcentral's name for it is "partial 16S ribosomal RNA". It matches the Rfam family "Bacterial small subunit ribosomal RNA", at positions 29 to 507 of the family's 1533-position model. The record is from RNAcentral.